UACAGAGGUCUCAAGCGUUGUUCGGAUUCAUUGGGCGUAAAGGGUGCGUAGGCGGCGCGGUAAGUCGGAUGUGAAAUCUCGGAGCUUAACUUCGAAACUGCAUUCGAUACUGCCGUGCUUGAGGACUGGAGAGGAGACUGGAAUUUACGGUGUAGCGGUGAAAUGCGUAGAUAUACGGAGGAACACCAGGGGCGAAGGCGGAUCGCUGGGCCAACACUGACGCUGAUGUGCGAAAGCUAGGGGAGCAAACGGG
Molecule: ribosomal RNA, 253 nt
Filed under: uncultured bacterium
Lineage: Bacteria
Description: partial 16S ribosomal RNA
Rfam family: Bacterial small subunit ribosomal RNA
Source: RNAcentral